This 245-nucleotide ribosomal RNA is filed under the name uncultured bacterium. RNAcentral's name for it is "partial 16S ribosomal RNA". It matches the Rfam family "Bacterial small subunit ribosomal RNA", at positions 63 to 334 of the family's 1533-position model. The record is from RNAcentral.
CGAGCGCUUCACUUCGGUGAGGAGCGGCGGACGGGUUAGUAACGCGUGGGAACAUACCCUUUUCUAGGGAAUAGCCACUGGAAACGGUGAGUAAUACCUUAUACGCCCUUCGGGGGAAAGAUUUAUCGGUGAAGGAUUGGCCCGCGUUAGAUUAGUUAGUUGGUGGGGUAAUGGCCUACCAAGACUACGAUCUAUAGCUGGUUUGAGAGGAUGAUCAGCAACACUGGGACUGAGACACGGCCCAG